This 456-nucleotide ribosomal RNA is filed under the name uncultured bacterium. RNAcentral's name for it is "partial 16S ribosomal RNA". It matches the Rfam family "Bacterial small subunit ribosomal RNA", at positions 29 to 507 of the family's 1533-position model. The record is from RNAcentral.
AACAAACGCUGGCGGCGUGCCUAAUACAUGCAAGUCGAACGAGGUAGCAAUACCUAUUGGCGCCCGGGUGAGUAACGCGUGGAUAAUCUGCCCUUCAGUGGGGAAUAACUCUCCGAAAGGAGAGCUAAUACCGCAUAAGUCCACAGUGACUUUGGUCACAGAGGUUAAAGGAGCAAUUCGCUGAAGGAUGAGUCCGCGCCAGAUUAUGGUAGUUGGUGGGGUAACGGCCUACCACGCCUUCGAUCUGUAGCUGGUCUGAGAGGAUGAUCAGCCACACUGGAACUGGGACACGGUCGAGACUCCUACGGGAGGCAGCAGUAGGGAAUAUUGGUCAAGGGGCGAGAGCCUGAUUCAGCAACGCCGCGUGAGCGACGAAGGCUUUAGGGUUGUAAAGCUCUGUUGCAAGGGAAGAAAAAAAUGACGGUACUUAGCGAGAAAGGACCGGCCAACUUCGUG